AUUUCAAACUGGCAGACAUUAGUUAAAAGCCUGUCUAGUCCAUUACUAAUCACAGUACCUGCAGCUUCUUCAUUCAAGGGUCUUCAUUUUGGUGCCUAUUGGAUAUUGUUCCCAUAAAGAAUGAGAAGGGAGAUGUAGUACUCUUUCUGGCCUCUUUCAAAGAUAUAACAGAUACAAAAGUGAAGAUUGCUGUUGAAGACAAAAAAGAAG
Gavialis gangeticus (Gharial) is the source of this 210-nucleotide long non-coding RNA. RefSeq lists it as uncharacterized. The transcript is spliced from 2 exons. The record is from RefSeq and is a predicted model, not a curated record. NCBI's taxonomy places the organism in Eukaryota, Metazoa, Chordata, Crocodylia, Gavialidae.